Molecule: long non-coding RNA, 1228 nt
Filed under: Dermacentor andersoni
Lineage: Eukaryota; Metazoa; Arthropoda; Arachnida; Ixodida; Ixodidae
Description: uncharacterized LOC126530828
Source: RNAcentral
ACGACUGCGCAUCAACGACAAUCGACGUGGAUGUUUUCAAUGAACUGACUGCAGAAACACUGGCACGUGCCAGAUGCCCGGUGAUUAAGGUGCCCUACGUUCCACAAGUAAGAGAGUAUUGCUCUUUCUUGACAACUGCGACGUCACAUCACGUGGCUUGCCGAGCUCCUUUAAAAGACCGAGCAACAUUGCCUUUCGUCAGUGGGCAGGCCAGCACCAGUACCGGCAACAUGUUCAGCAAUCACUUCUGCUUUGCUCUACAGGAUGCUACUUGCCGAACUAUAUGAAGCCUACGUGUAGCCCCAUGAUUCUAUGCAACGUAUCAGUUCCAGAGAAGCGUGCUCACCGGAGGUGGCGAUAAUGGUGAGGAUCUCGCCCCCACGGACUUCGAAUCACCACAGACUUCGAACGAUAGUCCGUCGAGCAGGAGCAACUUAGUGCGCGGUCCGCCGCACAGCCGCUGACCCAGGCUUGAGCGGUCCAGCUCGAACGUCAGGUCUCGAAGCAGCAUCAGAGCGGCCACAUUUAUCGUCAUGGCGACGUGCCCAUUGGCACCAUUGCCCACAUUUCAGGCAAAGGCGUGGUUACGCACACACAAGAACAGCAAGACUGGAAUCAGCUCUGGCCAGAGGACGCUGACGACGUGUAAUGCCGAUGUGUGCACGACAACUCACGUCACGUUCCACGAGUUGAACUAAUUAUAGGUGUUGGUAGGGCAUAUUCGACAUAGCCUAAGCACAGUUGGAGGGAGGGCGGGUCAUCGAAACCUAGCACUGAUAAGAGGAAGGCUUACUUCGUUAUAGAGUUGGCUAAAGCAGAGGAAAGAUAGGGAGUGGAUGUUGUUGGAAGUGAUGAAAAGCUUAAAGCACGGAAAACCACGUGUUGCGCACGACUGCAAAAUUUAGGUGAAAUGUUCACGGCAGCGUAUGUUACUCGCGUACUGUGUUUUUUACCAAGCUACCAAGGUGGUUCAGGACCCUUUUAACCCUGUAAUACAUAACGCACCAUCUGUAUACUGCUGCGUUUGAGACUUCGAAAUUCAAAUUUGUGCUCGUGAAACACAAGUAGUGAUAUUAUUACGCUGGAGCCAAAUGCUGUUGUGAGCAGCUUAGUAAUAGGAUUGCUAACGGCAGUGCUAAUUAUAUUUACUGAUAAAUUUUGUUGAUUUAAGCACAAAUGUGCCCUCUAUGGCGAGAAAUAGAGGUGAACAAGUUUUGAAAAUUUUCUG